UACGUAGGGGGCUAGCGUUGUCCGGAAUCAUUGGGCGUAAAGCGCGCGUAGGCGGCCCGGUAAGUCCGCUGUAAAAGUCAAAGGCUCAACCUUUGAAUGUCAGUGGAUACUGCCGGGCUAGAGUCCGGAAGAGGCGAGUGGAACUCCUGGUGUAGCGGUGGAAUGCGCAGAUAUCAGGAAGAACACCAACGGCGAAGGCAGCUCGCUGGGACGGAACUGACGCUGAGGCGCGAAAGCGUGGGGAGCGAACAGG
This 253-nucleotide ribosomal RNA is filed under the name uncultured bacterium. RNAcentral's name for it is "partial 16S ribosomal RNA". It matches the Rfam family "Bacterial small subunit ribosomal RNA", at positions 524 to 776 of the family's 1533-position model. The record is from RNAcentral.